RNAcentral lists this ribosomal RNA (207 nucleotides) under uncultured bacterium. RNAcentral describes it as "partial 16S ribosomal RNA". It matches the Rfam family "Bacterial small subunit ribosomal RNA", at positions 568 to 774 of the family's 1533-position model. The record is from RNAcentral.
AACGUAGACGGUGUGGCAAGUCUGAUGUGAAAGGCAUGGGCUCAACCUGUGGACUGCAUUGGAAACUGUCAUACUUGAGUGCCGGAGGGGUAAGCGGAAUUCCUAGUGUAGCGGUGAAAUACGUAGAUAUUAGGAGGAACACCAGUGGCGAAGGCGGCUUACUGGACGGUAACUGACGUUGAGGCUCGAAAGCGUGGGGAGCAAACA